This 59-nucleotide transfer RNA is filed under the name Stygobromus foliatus. RNAcentral describes it as "tRNA-Cys". Lineage: Eukaryota; Metazoa; Arthropoda; Malacostraca; Amphipoda; Crangonyctidae. The record is from RNAcentral.
AGAUCUGUGGUGUAGAAAACAUUUUAAUUUGCAAAAUUAAAGAUGCUUAAGCCAGGUCC